UGAGGAAUAUUGGUCAAUGGUCGGAAGACUGAACCAGCCAUGCCGCGUGAAGGAAGAAUGCCCUAUGGGUUGUAAACUUCUUUUGUACGGGAACAAUAAGUGUUACGAGUAACACGACGAGGGUACCGUACGAAUAAGCAUCGGCUAACUCCGUGCCAGCAGCCGCGGAAUACGGAGGAUGCAAGCGUUAUCCGGAUUUAUUGGGUUUAAAGGGUGCGUAGGCUGACCUAUAAGUCAGAGGUGAAAUACUGCAGCUUAACUGUAGAAUUGCCUUUGAUACUGUAGGGCUUGAGUACAUCUGAGGUAGGCGGAAUGUGCAGUGUAGCGGUGAAAUGCUUAGAUAUUGCACAGAACACCGAUUGCGAAGGCAGCUUACUAAGAUGUAACUGACGCUGAAGCACGAAAGUGUGGGGAUCAAACAGGAUUAGAUACCCUGGUAGUCCACACUGUAAACUAUGAUUACUGGAUGUUUGUC
This 475-nucleotide ribosomal RNA is filed under the name uncultured bacterium. RNAcentral's name for it is "bacterial SSU rRNA". It matches the Rfam family "Bacterial small subunit ribosomal RNA", at positions 355 to 828 of the family's 1533-position model. The record is from RNAcentral.